UCGUUCUGCGGUGAAUAGCCGGUACUGUACCUCAGAGCUGGAGGGGCCGAAGGGGCCGAAGGGGUUCGGCGUAGUGACCGGGCAAAAACAUUUACAUCGCAGCAACAAACUCCGCAAGCACCAUUGCUCUAGUGCACGCCAUGUCGCAGAAUUCAGUAAAAAUACCCAGUACAUCGACAAAGAAAAGCAGAAUUGAAUAUGAGGGCAAGCUGGAGAAAAACGUAAACAGAGCUUCUGUAGGUGUGUUAAAAAAGGAAGAGUGAGUGUAAUCACAAACAAGAGAAAAUCUGCAGAUGCUAGAAAUCCAAGCUACACACGUAAAAUGCUGGAGGAACUCAGCUUCAAUGGAAAGGAGUGUUGUCGACGUUUCGAACCGAGACCCUUCAUCAGGACUGAGAGAAAAAAAAUGCGUUAGAGUAAGAAAAUCGGGGUAAGAAAGAGUGCAUGAAAUUCAUUGCACGUGAGGAUAUAUAACUGGGAAUAUAGAAAUUACAGAGGAAUUAAGCAUCUACUUUGUGUCUGUCCUGAAGGAAGAAAACGCAAAGAAAAAUAUCACCAGAACUACCCAGGGUCUGGUGCAAGUGAAGAAUUCAAAUAAUUUAGUAUUAGUAAAACAAUAUUAUUAGAAAAGUUGAUGAGUCUGAAAAGUAACGAACCACGGGGAUUUGAUUUAACUAUAGCCCUGAGUUUUGGAAAUGAUAACUGUGCAAACUAUGGAUGCUCUGGUUGCUAUUUUCCAAAAUUCUAUAGAUUCUGCAAUGGUUACUGCAGAGCAGUCCUGAUCCUGGGAAUGCAUCCAGAGCAUUAAACAAGUUAUGAAAAUCUUACAUGAAGGUGCAUCAGGCAAUUUCACAAGCAAGUGGUAUGCUGGCAUUUAUUUCAAAAGGAGUAGGAGUUAAGCAUAAAGGAUAUUGACAAUGUAUUUGACAGUGGCAGUAUGUUGAUAUUGCUCUAACCUUCGGUGCCCUUGAGAAGGCAGUGAAAAGCCCCCUUCUUGAAUUGUGAUGAAGAUACUCCUACAAUGUUGUUGUUACUUGUAUGUCACCCGUCAGAUUUAUUAAUUUUUAUUUCAGUUAACUGCACAAUAUCAUGCUUCAUUUCAUAGCAGAUAAAGAAAGAAAACCUUUAUGUUGAGGGCAGAAGUAUCAAGAGUUCACCUAAACCAUAACUUCAUAUUGGAACAUUUUUCAGUCCCUUUGCUCUGUUGUAAGUAGACAUGUUGUUAAGGCUGCAUUAAAGGUACUUAUAAAUAAAUGUUGUUUUUAUGCAGCUUUUUACAUAGUUCCGUUACGGUGUUUUCAAUGACAAUAUAACACCUCAUAUCUAUAAAUGACAAAUUGUUUUUUUUACUAUCUACCAAAUAUCAACAACCACCAAAAUCCAUGUACAAAUCUUUAACUGUAUCAACAGUUUUCCUUAUAUUUCUAUCGGCAAACUGACAUUUGGUUUCAAUACUCAGGUCAUUAAAUGCAGAUUAGGAACAACAGGAGUUCAACUGAUACUCUAUUUGUCCUCAUUGUUGCUAAUGUCUAACUCGAAAAGUCACUCAGUAAUUUAGACAAAACUCUUUCUAGAAAGAAAAAAGUCAUCCUAUCAAAGCUAAACCAAGUACAAAACAAUUAAAUGGUACAGGACACACAGUGAUACUUAAAAAAUCAAAUUGCUUACUAUUAUGAUAAUUAUAUUUGCACCCAAAAGCAAAAUACUGCAGAAAAUGUGAAAUAAGACUACUCGGCAGGCCAUGCAUCAUCUGUGGUGAGUCAAUGUUUCGGAGCAAUAACAUUAACCAGAAUUGGAAAUGAAACAAAUUGAAAAGAAUGGGCAGCAGUGGGGGUGGCGAGGGGAGAGGGGUGAAGAGAACUAACAAGAAAGUGUACGAUAAAGUAGAGGGCAAAGAAGAUACUGACACAAGCAGUGGUGGUGCAGUGGAAAAGGAUGUCAAUGGGUUAAUGUGGGAGGUGUAAAUAGGAGAUGAAUUAAAUUUGAAAUGCCAGAUGAGGGAGGGGAAUAAAGUGAAUGCUGGAAACAUAAGACACAAACAGAAACAGAUGAUUGUCAAAUUCAGCUUUGAAUUCUGAAGGCUGCAAUGGAGCAAGUCAGGUGGCAUGCUGUAAUUUCAGCUUACAUUGGAAGAGAUUAUGAGGUCAACGGUAGAGAGGCCAGACAGGGAGUGGAAAAGAGAAUUUCAGGCUACUGGAGGUUUAGGGUCACACAUACAAGCUGAGCAUAGGUACUCUGUAAAGCAGUUAUCUCUCAUCCAUGUUCCUUUUCUCUGAUACAGAGGAUGGAGCAUGGAGAUGAAGCUUCAGGUCAGUGACCUUUCAUUUAAAGUUCCAAUUAAAUGUUAGCACCAGUUUCUCUUUAUAGAUCUUGACUUAUUAGACUGAGGAUUUUCAUAAUUUUCCAUUCUUCAAUGCUUCACAAACAAAAUAUAGACAUUGGACACAAGAAAAUGGUCUUUCUAUCAGCUCUUAAAGUUCCUUUUAUUGGGAAGAUUCCAAUAGAGCACUGAAGAGGAAGGAUGUUUUUAAUGUUAGUAUCAGAUGAAAGAAAGCUCAUAAAUGCAUGACAUUGACAGCAAUGUAACUAUCAAACAUCAGCUACUGGGAGCUGGGUCAUAAGCUUGAAUUUAUUUGAUGGUCAAGCAGAACAUUUAAGAAGUUUGACUCAAGUAUCUUGAGGCGUUCUCUCAUUUGACACCUGAGGCUCUGAGUGAAAGCUUCCUUCAUCUGUGACCUUAGAGUGCACUUAGCAAUAGGGAGCAGCUACAAAGUCACAAAAGAAAUAAAAGUAAAAUGAGUAAUAAACUGUGUGGAAAUAGAUUAUCUGUUGUCAAAUAGAACUUAAGUGGUGAAAGCAACUAUGGGAAUGAGUCAUGCAGUGAGGGGGGAGAAAACAAAACUUGAGUAUUGAAAAAUCUAACCUUUUUAAAAAAAUCCUCUCACUUUCUCCUGUAAGUUUCCCUUUGUUGUGAUUUCUCUGGAAGUAUGGUGUGUAUAUUUAGAACGAGGCUGCUACAGCAUCUAUUUCCAGUUUAAAAUCCUAGAUAAAAUGGUAUGGACAAUGCUGUUUGUGAAAAUGUAUUCUCUGCUUCCCAUUACAGUGUUUGCUUGCCUGAGAGUUCUGGCGAAUGACGGUAGUAAUUAGAGACUGUGUUGCACACAUGAAAGAUGGAAUACAAAUUAGUGAACCAGGUGCAGGGCAAUGGGUUCUGCUGCUGUUUAUCUUUAGAAUUACAUCGAGAUCACCUUCCAAAAAUACCACAUUUGACCCAGUCAGUCCAUUUAUGCUUUCCUUAAGUCUCUUUCCAUCAUUAAUUAUAUAGCUUUAUCUAUAUAGUUCUUAUAUUCAGCCUCCCUUUACAUUGAUUUACAGUUUGCCUCAAUGUAACCUACUGCAGUGAGUUACACUUACUCUAAUUUUCUUUUUAAUGUGUUUAAUUUUGACAGCAUCAACUUCUAUCCUUACUCAGCUCCCCAUCCAAGAAGAUUCAUGCUUUACAUAAAAAACAUUCAUGGUGUUAAAGACCUGUAAGAUCGCCUCCAAGCCUUCACUUUUCAAGCUGAGUUACAACUUCACUCUUCUAGAAACAUAGAAACAUAGAAAAUAGGUGCAGGAAAUAGGCCCUUCAGCCCUUCGAGCCUGCACCCCUAUUCAGUAUGGUCAUGGCUGAUCAUCCAACUCAGAACCCUGUACCUGCUUUUUCUCCAUACCCCCGAUCCCUUUAGCCACAAGGGCCAUAUCUAACUUCCUCUUAAAUAUAGCCAAUGAACCGGCCUCAACUGUUUCCUGUGGCGGAGAAUUCCACAGAUUCCCCACUCUCUGUGUGAAGAAGUUUUUCCUCAUCUCGGUCCCAAAAGGCUUCCCCUUUAUCCUUAAACUGUGACUCCUUGUUCUGGACUUCCCCAACAUUGGAAACAAUCUUCCUACAUCUAGCCUGUCCAAUCCCUUUAGAAUUUUAUACGUUUCAGUAACAUCCCCCCUCAAUCUUCUAAAUUCCAGUGAGUAUAAGCCUAGUCAAUCCAGUCUUUCUUUAUAUGAAAGUCCUGCCAUCCCAGGAAUCAAUCUGGUGAACCUUCUCUGUACUCCCUCUAUGGCAAGAAUGUCUUUCCUCAGAUUAGGGGACCAAAACUGCACACAAUAUUCUAGGUGCGGUCUCACCAAGGCCUUCUACAACUUCAGUAGAACCUCCCUGCUCCUGUACUCAAAUCCUUUUGCUAUGAAUGCCAGACCUACGUAUCCUCUGCAGUCCAUAAAUCAGUACCCUGAUUUGUAUCAAUAGCUUAACUCAAGGUCCUGACUCUAUUUUUUUCUGGAAAUACAUUCUAAUGCUGGUUUUCUUUCCCCACCACCCCCCAAACCCCACGCUUCAUCUGUUUUUAUAUUCAAAGUAAAUUUUUAUCUAAGUUUGUAUAUAUCACCAUAUACAAUACUGAAAUUCAUUUUCCUGCAGGCAUGCCCAGCAUAUCUAUAGAACAGUAACAGCAUCAAUGAAAGAUCAGCCAGAAGCAGAAGACAACAAACUGCAAUUGCAAAUAGAGAUAAAUAGCAAUAAGGAGCAAUAACAUGAGAUAAAGAGUCUUUAAAAUGAGGCCAUUGGUUGUAGGAACAUUACAAUGAUGGGCAAAUGAAUGUGGUUAUCCCCUUUUAUUCAACUGUUCUUGAACCUAGUGGUGUGAAUUCUGGGACUCUUGUACCUUCUGCCUGUUGGCAGCAGCAAGAAGGGAGUAUGAUCUGGGUGGUGGGGAUCUCUGAUGCUGGGUGCUGCUUUCCUACGACAGCGUUUCAUGACGAUGUGCUCAAUGGUUGGGAGGGCUUUACCCGUGAUGUACUGGGCCAAAUCCACUACCUUUUGUAAGAUUUUCCAUUCAUUGGGAUUGGUGUUUCUAUAUCAGGCCAUGAUGCAGCCAGUCAAUAUACUCUCCACUACACAUCUAUAGAAGUUUGUCAAAGUUUUAGAUGUCAUAGUGAAUCUCUGCAGACUUCUAACGAAGUAGAAGUGCUGCUGUGCUUUCUUCAUAAUUGCAAUUACAUGCUGGGUAGCACGUCAGAUCCUCUGAAAUAAUAACACCAAGGAAUUUAAAGUUGCUGAUCCUCUCCACCUCUGAUUUCCCUCUUCUGAAGUCUAUAAUCAGUUCCUCGGUCUGGCUGACAUUGAGUGAGAGGUGGUUGUUAUGACAUCACUGUCUCCCUCCUGUAUGCUGAUUUGUCAUCAGAUCCACCCAGAUCUGGGAUGUUCAUGCUGGGCUGAAGUAUCUGGUCUUGUGUUGUAUGUAUUGUACUGUCCUUGAAUGCAUAUUUUACAAAUAAUGCAUGAUAUAAUAUUGUUUUCAGAAUGUAAUAUGUCACCCUCACCUGUAUUGAA
This is a long non-coding RNA of Hypanus sabinus (Atlantic stingray), 5365 nucleotides long. RefSeq lists it as uncharacterized. NCBI's taxonomy places the organism in Eukaryota, Metazoa, Chordata, Chondrichthyes, Myliobatiformes, Dasyatidae. The record is from RefSeq and is a predicted model, not a curated record. The transcript has 3 exons.